GACGAACGCUGGCGGCGUGCUUAACACAUGCAAGUCGAACGAAAAGAGGGAAAGAGCUUGCUCUUUCCGGAAUUGAGUGGCAAACGGGUGAGUAACACGUAAACAACCUGCCUUCAGGAUGGGGACAACAGACGGAAACGACUGCUAAUACCGAAUAAGUUCCAAGAGCCGCAUGGCCCAUGGAAGAAAAGGUGGCCUCUACCUGUAAGCUAUCGCCUGAAGAGGGGUUUGCGUCUGAUUAGCUGGUUGGAGGGGUAACGGCCCACCAAGGCGACGAUCAGUAGCCGGUCUGAGAGGAUGAACGGCCACACUGGAACUGAGACACGGUCCAGACUCCUACGGGAGGCAGCAGUGGGGAAUCUUCCGCAAUGGGCGAAAGCCUGACGGAGCAACGCCGCGUGAGUGAUGACGGCCUUCGGGUUGUAAAACUCUGUGAUCCGGGACGAAAAGGCAGAGUGCGAAGAACAAACUGAAUUGACGGUACCGGAAAAGCAAGCCACGGCUAACUACGUG
Molecule: ribosomal RNA, 513 nt
Filed under: uncultured bacterium
Lineage: Bacteria
Description: partial 16S ribosomal RNA
Rfam family: Bacterial small subunit ribosomal RNA
Source: RNAcentral